This 306-nucleotide ribosomal RNA is filed under the name Triticum aestivum (bread wheat). RNAcentral's name for it is "partial small subunit ribosomal RNA". The record is from RNAcentral. Lineage: Eukaryota; Viridiplantae; Streptophyta; Magnoliopsida; Poales; Poaceae.
AUGAAAAUCAAGGUUUUCUCCUGGAUGAUGAUCAUGGACAGGCUCAACACCCAAGAUAUGUUACUGCGCAGGCACUGGAAUGUGUCUGACUCCCCUGCUUGUGUCCUUUGCCUAAGGAAUCAUCGAGAGGAUAGAGACCACCUAUUUUUUAACUGCAGAUUUAGACACAGAGUAUGGAAUUUUUUGCAAAUAUAUUGGCCUCCAGGGGAGGAUCAGGUGGAGACUGUUAUGCAAGCUAGGACAGACUUUGCUAAGCCAUUUUUACUGAGGUGUGUUCAUAGCCAGCUGGAACAUUUGGACCAUUAG